UUAACUUUCAGGUUUGUACUUCUCGUCGGUUACAUUGGUAAGUAUAAUUUGGUUUUUCUUUUUUUUCUGUUUUCAGGUAUCUGGAGCUAAUAUGGUCAUAUCGGUAAGUAUUUUCUUUUCAACAAUACACAAAACAUAAUUUCCACAGCUAUUACACAAUUUAAACUAGACACGACGCGCACUACUACUCCCGAUUCUAGCUCUAGGCGGAAAGACCGGAUAUCGCAAUCUCCCGAGUUCGUCUCUUUAUUAGAAUCCGCAGGAAAACCCCAACUCCGACAAUCUGGUUUUGACAAAUGCUGAUGGUUGAGAACCCUGCUCAUAAAGCAUUGUGAGUGAACACACGAAAGUUAGAAGAAACAAUAGCUCAAACCAGUUGAGCUUUUCGUAGCCAAUGAGCAGGGGCCUGACAUGCUGAUGAGUUUUUAUUUAUUUACAGUAUGGUGUGUGGUCUCUGUAGUGUGUCUGUAGUGUUUAUUUGGAAUAUUAUGAAACCGAUCGGUUACAUUACCCCACCGUCCCUCUUCAAAAUGAAUUGAAAAUUCAUUUUGAACAAAAGUGGUUCAAGGUCAGACCUUGUCAACAUUUUAAUGGUUUUGUCGCAGCAAAAGCUUAAAAUGUCAACAUAUAGUAAACGUCAAUCCUUCAUCUCUUUCACUCAAGUGAAGUCAGAAAAGUACGCAGUAUUUUGAGCAACUUGAAGAUCUCCAUCUUGGACGCUUUCGGUGAGUAUCAUUCCAACCAAUUCCUACGAGCAGAUGGUUCGGUAAGUCCGGGAAUUGAUUCGAAGGAUCAAAAAAAUUGAUCUAAUUAUUAUCUCAAGAAUCUGGUUUUAGAUCAGAAGCAGAGAAAACUCCGAUUGGUUUACCUGCCUCAUCGGCAAGUUCGUAUGAACUGGUACCAACCCUAGCGAGGACAAUACAUGGUACAUAAGAUGGACCCAACUUGGCAUUAUACCGAUCUGCAGCCGAUGACUGGCGGAAGUUUCGUUUAUAAACUUUCUGUCCAACGGCGUAUGAUGGAGCAGGUUUACGGAAACUUAUUUCACACUCAUCCCUAUCAAUACGAUGUUCAUCACCUAAGUCGAUGAUUUCGUGACCAAAAAGGACCCUAUACGGAGAUAAUCCUGUGCAACUAUGCGGAGAGUUAUUCAAUGCGUGCUCUAUUUCCGAGAUACGAGUGUCCCAUAGUCUCUGAUCGCUCCGAACAUAUGUUCGAAUACAAGCAUUGAUUGUGCGAUUCAUCCGCUCAACGGGGUUAGCCUGGCUAUGAUAACGUGAGUUAGCCCAAUGCUGAAUAUGGAACUGUUCCAGAAAUCGCUGGAACUCUUUGGAUAAAAAUGUCGAAGCAUUAUCCGAGAUAAUGUACUCGGGGGUAGAGUAACGACGAAACCAAUUUUCGGAAAGGAUUUUGCAAACCUGAGUUGUUGAAAUUUUUCGAACGGGAAACAUGAGACAGAACUUGGAAAAGAGAUCCAUUAUAACGAAAAGGGUUCUUUUGAACUUUACAGACAAGACUACUGUACCAGUCGGAUUUUUGAGGAUUCGCACUGAGAGAUUCUACCGCACGCGACAGGGCAUCGGGCACGACAUUAUCAACACCUCGUCGAUGUUUGAUUUCGAGAUCAUGUCUUUGAAGUUCAAUACUCCAACGGCACAGUCUAGAGGAUGUUCUCCAGCUGCUUCGUAAGAUAUGGUGAACCAUAAGAUGCUUAUACUGGAUUAUAAUGUCUGAAUCCAUAUUAAUUGCAGUAAUUUGGACUAUCUGCCCAGGCGAACGAAAAAUAUUAAAUACCGAUUCACAGCCAGAUCAACGUCUGUGCCCUCCACAGACUCACUCUGCUAUCCAGCAGUACUAACCCUUCUUCGUCACCGGUCAAAUGAACGGCACUCCAGGAUGGUUUUGAAAAGCGGCUUUUGUGAUUCUAGGGUUAUUUAACACUUUUCUUUCUUUGGCUUCAGAUAGUUUUAUUACUAUAUUAAUUUUAUCACAGCACCACUUCAGUAUAAAUAAAUAAUCCAACACCAAUUAUACGAAUAUUA
Long non-coding RNA from Toxorhynchites rutilus septentrionalis, 2042 nucleotides. RefSeq lists it as uncharacterized. The transcript has 5 exons. The record is from RefSeq and is a predicted model, not a curated record. NCBI's taxonomy places the organism in Eukaryota, Metazoa, Arthropoda, Insecta, Diptera, Culicidae.